This 310-nucleotide unclassified non-coding RNA is filed under the name Hevea brasiliensis (rubber tree). Lineage: Eukaryota; Viridiplantae; Streptophyta; Magnoliopsida; Malpighiales; Euphorbiaceae. The record is from RNAcentral.
GUAGCUAUCCAUGGACUUGAAGAAACCCCAAUUAAAUUCAAGAAAGAAGCCUAGUUAAGCUCUAAAACCUUUGGAGAAGGAUAAAGAAAGCGAAAAUCCUACACACAAUGUCAAAUAUCGAUCAAAACCCACAUAGCUAAAUUUCUAAAUACCAAAGCCACGAAACGGCAUGCAAAAAUUGCAAACCAUGAGAAGAAAAGCAGAGUAUGAGAGAAGAAGAGAGAGGGUUUCGUUAUCUUUGUUACUAGUUAGCGGGUUUGGUUGAUUGGGUGAAAGGAAGAAUUAUUAUAAGGGGGGAGGAGGGAAGAGG